GACGAACGCUGGCGGCGUGCUUAACACAUGCAAGUCGAACGGAAAGGCUCCAGCUUGCUGGAGUACUCGAGUGGCGAACGGGUGAGUAACACGUGGGUAAUCUGCCCUGCACUCUGGGAUAAGCCUGGGAAACUGGGUCUAAUACUGGAUAUGACCUUUCUCCUUAUGGGGUUUGGUGGAAAGUUUUUCGGUGUAGGAUGAGCCCGCGGCCUAUCAGCUUGUUGGGGGGGUGAUGGCCUACCAAGGCGACGGCGGGUAGCCGGCCUGAGAGGGUGGUCGGCCAAAAUAGGACUGAGAUACGGCCCAGACUCCUACGGGAGGCAGCAGUGGGGAAUAUUGCACAAUGGGCGGAAGCCUGAUGCAGCGACGCCGCGUGAGGGAUGACGGCCUUCGGGUUGUAAACCUCUUUCAGCAGGGACGAAGCGUAAGUGACGGUACCUGCAGAAGAAGCACCGGCUAACUAUGUG
This 467-nucleotide ribosomal RNA is filed under the name uncultured bacterium. RNAcentral describes it as "partial 16S ribosomal RNA". It matches the Rfam family "Bacterial small subunit ribosomal RNA", at positions 28 to 507 of the family's 1533-position model. The record is from RNAcentral.